AUGUUGGGAUUACAGGCGUGAGCCACCGCGCCAGGCCUAAUUUAUUUUCAUUUUUAGUAAAGACGAGGGCUCACCAUUUUGCCCAGCCUGGUCUCGAACUCCUGAGCUCAAGCGAUGAUUCCCGCCUCUGCCUCCCAAACUGCUAGAAUUAUAGCCUUAGGUUUUGACUCGGUCCAGAUCUUCAGUACGGCCCCGCCUCUGGAGUUGACCACGCCUGUCAUUCUGAUCUCAACCACCUCCUCCCUUCUAAUCCUGUCCCUGAGUUGACUCAGUUGCUUGAGAAUUGACUGCUACCUCCCGCCAACGCUCCUUCUCCGGCCCGCCAGGCAUUCUGAUUACGUCCAUUUUCACUUAUUCCUUAAUUGCUGCUGGAGGAUGUGGUCCGGCUGCGGGGGUCCUCGCGGCGCACCAAGGCGAGACGCUCUGGUGACAAGUAGCGGCGGACACUGCUAAAAGAGAGCACACAGUUGGGGGCAGAGCCUUCGAGGCCAGCAGGCUAGCGCCGUGAGCGAGCGAGAUCCUCCCUGCACCCUCUGCUGCUGGAGCUCAGGCAAACAAACCACCUCUGUCUCCCACGAGGUCUUGGAGAGCCUGGGGGUCCCGGCCUUGUGCUUUACCUGCGCCCGAAGGUCGCCUCCUUCUUGGGAGAGGAUGGGGACGUGGCAUAGCCACCCACGCGCCGCGGGGGUCCCGAGCCAUUAAGGGGCGUCCUGGUGGGAAGGCCUUUCAAGAGCUGACACACUGGAGGGAUGGGGUUAGGGGACAGAAGAGGGUGAGUAUGAGGACCAGGCCCCGGUCCUCCCCAUCCCACCCCUCCAGUCUAACGGGGAUACCCGAGGCAGUGGUGCCUAAGCGCGGAGGCGCCCGGCCCUUGGGGGUGCCCCGCGCGCGUAGCGCUGCUCCCUGUUCUUCGCACGCCCGCAGGCGACGCAGAGCAUCCGCCAGCGCCGCCUUUAGGACCGCCAGCUCGUCUUCCUGUAACUGCAGCCGCUGCUCCAGCGCCGACACGCGGUCGUCCACUUCCAUACCGCUCGUGCCCGACAAAUUGUCAUCUGGAAGACGGGGGAGUGCCGGCUGCAGGGCCACCCAGGAGCUCCAGUGCCCAAGGGGUCCCUCCCGCCUUCCUGGGUCUAAGCGGGGGGCCAGCCACGCCCCUUUCCUGUCCCGCUACCUGGGGCUGGGACACUUGGACAUGGGCCAAGGAAGAGGACUCUGAAGGGGGAAGGAAAUCCCCACAGCUCUCCAACCCAUCCCCACACUCCUCUCUGCCGCAGCGCGCUGGCCGUGUGACCUUGGGGAAGUCCCUUCCCUCUUAUUUUCUAAGAGUCUGUGAACCCAGGAGCCUCUCACUCUGGCUGUAAGAUUCUAUAACUAAGAUGUGACCAGGCGCGGUGGCUCACGCCUGUAACCCCAGCACUUUGGGAGGCCGAGACGGGCGUAUCACGAGGUCAGGAGAUUGAGACCAUCCUGGCCAACAUGGUGAAACCCCGUCUCUACUAAAAUAAAAAUAAAAAAAUAAAAAAAA
Molecule: long non-coding RNA, 1525 nt
Organism: Pongo pygmaeus (Bornean orangutan)
Lineage: Eukaryota; Metazoa; Chordata; Mammalia; Primates; Hominidae
Exons: 2
Source: RefSeq, a predicted model, not a curated record